AAUAGCUAAAAGGGUGUAAAAAUGAGACCCAAGAUUGUCUUUCUAUCUUCGUUCGUUUCCAAUCUUCGAGCGUACUGUCGAGUGUCGAGCCGACUGUCGCGAGUGUGUGUAAUGUCGACAAGAAUGUUGACGUUUAAUUCAGCUCGUCGGAAGCAACGAAUACGCGCCGUGGUAGCCUCGUGAAUAAUGUCAAUGGAUUCCUCGUAACUUAUUGCACGCAGUCGUAAUAAUGUUACGCACUGUGGAAUUCACAGUAAACUUGUAGACUUCAUGAACGAACAAUCAUCGUACGCGCGAGGGCUUUGGCUCGAACUGUGACGCGCCAUAUUGGUUUAAGAGAAUUGUUCAUAUUAGUGAGCUUUGGGUGAAUCAAUUUUAUUGCAAAUGCACAUAGUAUAAUAAAGUUCCAACAAUGGAAGAGACUAAAAUCAUAUAUCACAUUGACGACGAAGAAACUCCUUACUUAGUGAAGCUUACCAUCUCACCGGAAAGGGUCACUCUUGCCGACUUCAAAAAUGUCUUGAAUCGACCGAAUUAUAAGUAUUUCUUCAAAUCUAUGGACGAUGAUUUUGGUGUGGUGAAAGAAGAGAUUGUAGAUGAUGAUGCCCAUCUUCCGUGUUUUAAUGGACGAGUUGUUUCUUGGUUGGUUUCUGCUGAAGGCAGUAAUGUGUCAGAUGGUGCUUCACAAUGCACAGAUUCAGUAGCACAUAGUGAGGCAAAACAUGAUCGUGUUGAUCAUGUGACACCUGGUCACACAAAUCGUGGUCCACCUCCUUUAUCACAUGAUGAUACUUUAACUGAAACUGAAAGUAUUACAAGUAGUCGACAAGGGCAUCAUUUACAUAAAAGUUCAAGACAUCAUUCAGAUAAAUAUGAGAAAUAUAAUAAAUAUAAUGGACUUCGUAUAAAUGGUCAUUCAAAACACAGAUCAGGCCAUGGUUAUGAGACUGCUUCUAUUUUAAGUUCAGAUUUAGAGACAACAACAUUUUUAGAAUCAGAUGAUGAUGCCAGUAGCCGUAUAACAUCGACUACAGGCAGACAUACCAAUAUGAGUAGUACAGUUGACAGAGCAACUUUAGAGCGGCGUAGACCACAGAGAAGAAGGCGUCAUAGAUUGCCACCUAUGUCUAGAACAUCAUCUUUUAGCAGUAUCACAGACAGUACAAUGUCCUUAAACAUCAUAACAGUUUCAUUGAAUAUGGAUACUGUUAAUUUCCUUGGGAUUAGUAUUGUUGGACAAAGUAACAAAGGUGGAGAUGGUGGCAUUUAUGUAGGUUCAAUAAUGAAAGGGGGUGCAGUUGCUUUAGAUGGGCGAAUAGAACCUGGUGAUAUGAUCCUUCAAGUAAAUGACAUUAAUUUUGAAAAUAUGUCUAAUGAUGAAGCAGUUAAAGUACUACGUGAAGUAGUUCAGAAACCAGGACCAAUCAAAUUAGUUGUUGCAAAGUGCUGGGAUCCUAAUCCUAAAGGCUAUUUUACAAUACCACGUACAGAACCUGUACGGCCUAUAGAUCCUGGUGCUUGGGUAGCACAUACAGCUGCUAUAAGGGGGGAAGGUUUUCCUCCACGCCCGCCAAGUGCUACAACAUUAACAUCAACAUCAAGCAGUCUUGCAAGUACACUGCCAGAUACAGAACGACCAUUAGAAGAACUUCAUCUUACGGUGAAUACGGAUAUGCCAACAAUAGUGCGAGCAAUGGCUCGACCUGAUUCAGGAUUGGAAAUUCGUGAUCGUAUGUGGCUUAAAAUAAUAAUACCAAAUGCAUUUAUUGGAGCAGAUGUUGUGGAUUGGCUUAAUACUCACGUAGAAGGAUUUAUUGAUCGACGUGAUGCAAGAAAAUACGCAUCUCUUAUGCUAAAAGCUGGUUUUAUUAGGCAUACAGUAAAUAAGAUAACAUUUUCUGAGCAAUGUUACUAUAUAUUUGGUGAUUUGUGUUCAGCUAUGAGUAGCAUGAAACUAGAUUGCGAUACAGUCGGACCAUUGCCUCCGCCGAAUGCCUGGGACAUGCCUUAUUCAGGAACAUAUGCACCUCAUUCUGCAACUGGUUAUAGUCCAAUGCCAUUUAAUUUCACUAAUGAACCAACUGUAUAUGGUUAUCACCGAGAAGAAAGUGUUCAUAGUGGAUCAGGCGGCAGUAGUGCAGGUAGUGAACACAUUUGCAAAGAACCUAUUCACGAUUUGAAAUCCUGUUCUUCAGCAUCUGAAUCUGAAUUACAUAUUCCAUCAGUGCCAACUAUGCCAAAUAAGAAUUCUGGCAAUGGAAAUGGUUCAAAUGGAAAGAGAUCUAAUGGUAGUCGCAGUCGUUCCAGUGGUUCUGAACAAUCUGUGCAGACAGGAACUGGUUCAGGGAAUCAACAGAACCAACAAGACUUAUCUGGAUUGUCUACGACAAUGGGGCAGCUAUUUCUUUAAAAUCGAGAGGAUAUUGUUUCGAAAUGUUAAAAGAUUCACUAAUUAUUACUUUUGAAAUUCAUUUUUUAAGAAUAAUUUGUUUUUAAAAAAAGAAAAACAAAAGAAAACAUAUGUAUAUAUAAAAAGAAUAUAUGCAAUACAAAUAUUAUUGUAUAUUGAGUAAUUAUUAGUGAAUCAUUUAAAAAACAUUGUCCAUGCGUAAAGGACAAAUUUUUAUUGUAUUCCUACUAAUUCAAGUUAUUUGAUGAUGACAAAAAAAUUGUUCACAAUUAUGUUAUGUGGUAUUGCAUCACAGGUUCGACAAUAUGUAAAUAGAUCGAAUUAUGCUCAUAUUAAAUGUGCCAUCUUAUCAGUGUUAGAAAAUACUGAAGAAACUGCGACUUAUAAUUUAUAUAUACAAGCUUCCCAGGUGUAUGCAUUUCUUUAUUGUUUAUGUUCAUUGAUGUCAUUUUAUCUUACGAAUUAUUACAAAUUAUUAUGAAUUAUCUUCUGCAUCUCACACACACAAGCUUAUUUAAUUUCAACAAACAUUUGUUACAUUUAAUUGCGUCUUGCCGUUGCGUUAUUAUUAUAUAAAUUUUUAUUUAGUAUAUCACAUUGUAUCGAAAUAAUAUUCUUUUUAUAAAAUGCCGCUAGAAAAUAUUUGCAUUCGAUAUGCACAUAAAUGCAUUGGCGUUAUAACAUUAUAAGAAUAAUUUCAAAUGUGGUGCAAUGUUUCUUUUGAACAUUUCACAUUGAGAAAAAAGAAAAAGAACAAUUUAAUAAUUUUUAUUAUUUUUUUGUAUCGAUUUUACUACUUUUUAUAUUUACAUGAACUAUUUACAUUGCUUUCUUAAUAUUUAUAAAACAUAUAUUAUAGAAUAUUAUUGAUGUUUUUUAUAUAACAUGAACCAUGUUUGAAAAUUUCGUUGAUUAAUCAUUCGUGCAAUUUUCCAAAAAUAACAAUUAAAAUUUUUUUACUUUUCUUUUUCUUCGGCAUCUUAUAAUUAUCCAUAAAUAGAUCCACUUUUUAUAUAUGUACUGUCUCUAGAGAAUAAUAUAACGGUAUUAUAUAUCGCAAAAAAUUUUUUACCAGUUUGAUAAAGCACAUAAUAUAUUAUAUAGCAAAGAUUUCAUUGGAAAAUUGCGCACUGGCAUUUAAUCAUUAAUUUCAAUGAACGUUUUCAUUUUGCUGCAAAUAAUUAUGUAAUUCAAUAUUUAAGAAGGUAGUUUACAAAACUGGUUUACCGAUAUCAUUACGGUAUCAAUUAUUAUAUAUUAUUCUGUAAAAUAUAUACAUAUUUUAUGUUGCAGACAGGUUGUACAGUAUGUUUGAGAAAUGCAAAAUUAGUAUUUACAAGAUGACGCAAUUUCACCAUCAUCUGAAUGAUAAGAAAUGCAAAUUUUAAAAAAUUAUAAAAAAAAAAAAAAUAAAAAUAUGAAUUUUGCGAUUCACAGACAUACUUUUAACUUGGUUUAUUUUAUUUUCUAUUUAUUGUGCCGCUCUAAAAGGACGUGCUGCUUUCUGUCUAACAAAUGACUCAAUUUCCUUUGCAACUUACGUUGUGCGCAUGUGGAUUACACCGUGUCAAAGACGUAAUCGAGUCAUUUUUGUGCCUUGUGCUGCGCUGGCGAUUGAUGCAGAGCGGCGUAUGCACGAGGAAACUCGUACACAGACUAGCGAUUUGGACAACAAUAGCAGAGACAAUAUCUAUGAAGAAGACAUUUUGGAGUACCAGUUUCUGCACAAGUGAAGAUACUUGUUAAUGCAAUAUGUAUACGUAACAAUGGUAAUAGGAGUUAAAAAAAAAGGAAAUUAAGAUAUAUUUCCACUUGAUCUUGAAUUAAGUGGAUGGAAGUAGCAAACGCGAGACACAUAUAUAUAUAUAUAUAUAUUUAUAUAUAUAUUUAAUAGACGAAUUUUGAUAAAGCGUCAUA
Apis dorsata (giant honeybee) is the source of this 4327-nucleotide RNA transcript. It is a transcript of the gene named segment polarity protein dishevelled homolog DVL-3, with no coding region annotated. NCBI's taxonomy places the organism in Eukaryota, Metazoa, Arthropoda, Insecta, Hymenoptera, Apidae. The record is from RefSeq and is a predicted model, not a curated record. The transcript has 11 exons.